UACGAAGGGUGCAAGCGUUACUCGGAAUUACUGGGCGUAAAGCGUGCGUAGGCGGUUCGUUAAGUCUGAUGUGAAAGCCCUGGGCUCAACCUGGGAAUGGCAUUGGAUACUGGCGGGCUGGAGUUCGGUAGAGGGUCGCGGAAUUCCCGGUGUAGCGGUGAAAUGCGUAGAGAUCGGGAGGAACAUCAGUGGCGAAGGCGGCGACCUGGACCAGAACUGACGCUGAGGCACGAAAGCGUGGGGAGCAAACAGG
This 253-nucleotide unclassified non-coding RNA is filed under the name uncultured Lysobacterales bacterium. RNAcentral's name for it is "uncultured Xanthomonadales bacterium contains 16S-23S intergenic spacer region". It matches the Rfam family "Bacterial small subunit ribosomal RNA", at positions 524 to 776 of the family's 1533-position model. The record is from RNAcentral. Lineage: Bacteria; Pseudomonadati; Pseudomonadota; Gammaproteobacteria; Lysobacterales.